Molecule: ribosomal RNA, 253 nt
Filed under: uncultured bacterium
Lineage: Bacteria
Description: partial 16S ribosomal RNA
Rfam family: Bacterial small subunit ribosomal RNA
Source: RNAcentral
UACGUAGGUGGCAAGCGUUGUCCGGAAUUAUUGGGCGUAAAGCGCGCGCAGGCGGUCCUUUAAGUCUGAUGUGAAAGCCCACGGCUCAACCGUGGAGGGUCAUUGGAAACUGGGGGACUUGAGUGCAGAAGAGGAGAGUGGAAUUCCACAUGUAGCGGUGAAAUGCGUAGAGAUGUGGAGGAACACCAGUGGCGAAGGCGACUCUCUGGUCUGUAACUGACGCUGAGGCGCGAAAGCGUGGGGAGCAAACAGG